UNGUCUGUGAAAUUCCGGGGCUUAACUUCGGGGUGGCAGGCGAUACGGGCAUAACUAGAGUGCUGUAGGGGAGACUGGAAUUCNUGGUGUAGCGGUGGAAUGCGCAGAUAUCAGGAGGAACACCGAUGGCGAAGGCAGGUCUCUGGGCAGUAACUGACGCUGAGGAGCGAAAGCAUGGGGAGCGAACAGGAUUAGAUACCCUGGUAGUCCAUGCUGUAAACGGUGGGCGUUAGGUGUGGGGACCGGUUUGGUUUCUGUGCCGUAGCUAACGCAUUAAGCGCCCCGCCUGGGGAGUACGGCCGCAAGGCUAAAACCCAAAGGAAUUGACGGGGGCCCGCACAAGCGGCGGAGCAUGUGGAUUAAUUCGAUGCAACGCGAAGAACCUUACCUGGGUUUGACAUGCACCAGACGGUUGUAGAGAUACGUACCUCCCUUUGUGGUUGGUGUGCAGGUGGUGCAUGGUUGUCGUCAGCUCGUGUCGUGAGAUGUUGGGUUAAGUCCCGCAACGAGCGCAACCCUUGUCUUAUGUUGCCAGCACUUUGGGUGGGGACUCAUGAGAGACUGCCGGGGUUAACUCGGAGGAAGGUGGGGAUGACGUCAAAUCAUCAUGCCCUUUAUGCCCAGGGCUUCACACAUGCUACAAUGGUUAGUACAACGCGCUGCGAGCCUGUGAGGGUGAGCGAAUCGCUGAAAGCUAAUCUCAGUUCGGAUUGGGGUCUGCAACUCGACCCCAUGAAGUCGGAGUCGCUAGUAAUCGCAGAUCAGCAAUGCUGCGGUGAAUACGUUCCCGGGCCUUGUACAC
Molecule: ribosomal RNA, 802 nt
Filed under: uncultured bacterium
Lineage: Bacteria
Description: bacterial SSU rRNA
Rfam family: Bacterial small subunit ribosomal RNA
Source: RNAcentral